This is an RNA transcript of Episyrphus balteatus (marmalade hoverfly), 1664 nucleotides long. RefSeq lists it as uncharacterized. The record is from RefSeq and is a predicted model, not a curated record. Lineage: Eukaryota; Metazoa; Arthropoda; Insecta; Diptera; Syrphidae. The transcript has 9 exons.
AAGGAGGGAUCAAAAAAUUCUAAAAGUAAAAAUGUAUAUAUUUUCAUCUCUUAUGUAGUUUUUGGUCGAACAAAUUUCAUGAAACCAAAUUAAAUUUGUGGGCAGUUUGAAAAAAUUCAUCGCUGAGGAAAGAUCGCUAGUUUUUAGGAAUUUAAAAUCGAACGAGUCUAGGAAUCGAAUAAAAAAAAUAUAUCUUUAUUUAUUUACUGUGAAUAAAAAAAAUCGUCAAUAUGUUUAAAAAUCAUUUGGAAAUGAUUGGGAGAAAUGAAACCCCCAGCAAAAAAGCUAAAUUCUGGCAAUCAUACAUCAGAUCAUUGAAAGGAUCUGAAGAUAUCCGUGCCCAUGAUACACCAAAAGCACGUUCAUUUAGGCCAUACAGUGCAUACGUUGACUCGCCAUCGACCUACCGCAGCAUUUUUGAUGAGCCUGCAACUCCAUCUGAAAGAAUUCAAUCCCUCGGAUACAGAUACCAACCCGUUUCUAGGGAUACAUACGGAUACUCUCCACGCGCUAUCUAUGAUCACCACUACAGCAGAACAAUUCCAGCAAGCUAUGACGCUGAAAGAGCAUGGAAUGAACAUUUGAAGCGCAUGCAGGAAAUUGAGCACAGGUACCCAUCUCGCUACGGUCUGUACCUUAAGGACAAGCCAACUGCACCAAAUGCCCUUAUUCCUCAGGAAUACGAACCCGAAGACAAGCUUCUUCAGCAACUCAAUAAGGCUCGUCGCUCUGCCUCACCUGUACCAUUGUACCGUGCAGGAAGUGCACCACGUUCAUUAAGUGUCCCACCACUAGAACCUUAUGUUCCUCCAGCAUACGACAGGGCUGCAAGUGUCGCACCAAGGUCCUACCGGGCGAGUUCAAUAGAACCUUUGCCACUCCGUGCUCGCUCUGUGGAUCCCUACAUACCUGAUUUGUUCAGUAAGUUUGACAGACUAAGUCCAUUUGAACGUGCCGGUUCACCUACACCCGUAAAACCUGGUCGCUGGGGACCACGUCCAACUGAAAUUGCCUAUGACUCUGACGGACUCCCAGUCUUCCACCCAAGGAACCGUUUUAGGGAUCUUUUUGAACCAAAUGUAAAUGCUCCCAUUUCAUCAUUCGCUCGGGACCCCUUCUGGUGGGAUAUUGAUGAUUUGGCUCCUUACCGCGGCUACCCCAGGUCAUACACACCACCAUUGGUCAGAGACUCGUUUUUAUCUCCAGUAAAAAAUCGCUACUUAUGGGCCAAGCACCCAGCUAGGCCUCUUCUCGGAGAGGAAUAGAUUCGUGGAUAUUCCAACUACUUAACUUUUUUUAACGAUAUAACACAUAUGAACUCUUAAAAAUAACGAAUUUAUAAAGCACUUCAUUUUAUUAAACUUUUUACUAAAAUCGAAGAAAAAGAAGCUAGUAGAUAAUGAUUACUAAACAAAGUAUACAAGAUUUCUCGCUAUCACUACUGAGCCCAAAAUCAAUUUACUUUGUGCCCUACAAGAAAAACAACGAAUAAAAUUUAUAUCUAGCCAUCAUCCUCAACGAAAAAAAAUCGACCACGAAAGAUUUCCUGCCCAAGUAUUUACAGAAUGAUCAGAAUAACGAAUAUUUAAAAAAAAAGUUUAAACAUUGUUACUGUUGUUAAUUUUUUAUAUUUUCCAAUAAAUGUUACAUGGUAUUUAAUUAAA